RNAcentral lists this ribosomal RNA (346 nucleotides) under uncultured bacterium. RNAcentral describes it as "partial 16S ribosomal RNA". It matches the Rfam family "Bacterial small subunit ribosomal RNA", at positions 338 to 681 of the family's 1533-position model. The record is from RNAcentral.
CCUACGGGAGACAGCAGUGAGGAAUAUUGGUCAAUGGGCGCGAGCCUGAACCAGCCAAGUAGCGUGAAGGAUGACUGCCCUACGGGUUGUAAACUUCUUUUAUAAAGGAAUAAAGUGAGGCACGUGUGCCGUGUUGUAUGUACGUUAUGAAUAAGGAUCGGCUAACUCCGUGCCAGCAGCCGCGGUAAUACGGAGGAUCCGAGCGUUAUCCGGAUUGAUUUGGUUUAAAGGGAGCGUAGAGGGGUUGUUAAGUCAGGUGGGAAAGUUUGCGGCUCAACCGUAAAAUUGCAAGGGAUACUGGCAGUCUUGCGUUCAGUUGCGGUAGGCGGACUUCGUUUUGUAGCGG